UGGCGACAAUGUUCUUUGGUCAUGGUCAUACAAAUCAGACCACGCCCAUAACGCGCCAUAAAGUUAAUCGCUUGCGCAGUCACCUUCUCAGAAGCCAUGA
RNAcentral lists this non-coding RNA (100 nucleotides) under marine eukaryotic metagenome. The record is from RNAcentral.